AUAGCGUAUAUUAAAGUUGUUGCAGUUAAAAAGCUCGUAGUUGAACCUCAGACCUGGCUGGGCGGUCAGCUUAUCGGCUUGUACUGUCUGGCUGGGCCUUACUUCUUGGUGAGCUGGUGUGCCCUUUAUUGAGUGCGCUGGUGAACCAGGACCUUUACCUUGAGAAAAUUAGAGUGUUCAAAGCAGGCCUAUGCCCGAAUACAUUAGCAUGGAAUAAUAAAAUAGGACGUGCGGUUCUAUUUUGUUGGUUUCUAGAGUCGCCGUAAUGAUUAAUAGGGAUAGUUGGGGGCAUUAGUAUUCAGUUGCUAGAGGUGAAAUUCUUGGAUUUACUGAAGACUAACUACUG
This 346-nucleotide ribosomal RNA is filed under the name uncultured eukaryote. RNAcentral's name for it is "SSU rRNA". It matches the Rfam family "Eukaryotic small subunit ribosomal RNA", at positions 594 to 945 of the family's 1831-position model. The record is from RNAcentral.